RNAcentral lists this ribosomal RNA (450 nucleotides) under uncultured bacterium. RNAcentral describes it as "partial 16S ribosomal RNA". It matches the Rfam family "Bacterial small subunit ribosomal RNA", at positions 354 to 796 of the family's 1533-position model. The record is from RNAcentral.
GUGGGGAAUAUUCCGCAAUGGACGAAAGUCUGACGGAGCAACGCCGCGUGAGUGAUGAAGGUUUUCGGACUGUAAAGCUCUGUUGUUUAGGACGAAAGUGCCUGUUGCAAAUAGUUACAGGUAUUGACGGUACUGAACGAGGAAGCCACGGCUAACUACGUGCCAGCAGCCGCGGUAAUACGUAGGUGGCAAGCGUUGUCCGGACUUAUUGGGCGUAAAGAGCAUGUAGGCGGGAAUCUAAGUCUGUUGUGAAAAUGCGGGGCUCAACCCCGUAUUGCGAUGGAAACUGGGUUUCUUGAGUGCAGGAGAGGAAAGGAGAAUUCACAGUGUAGCGGUGAAAUGCGUAGAUAUUGGGAGGAACACCAGUGGCGAAGGCGCCUUUCUGGACUGUGUCUGACGCUGAGAUGCGAAAGCCAGGGUAGCGAACGGGAUUAGAAACCCGGGUAGUCC